This 458-nucleotide ribosomal RNA is filed under the name uncultured bacterium. RNAcentral describes it as "partial 16S ribosomal RNA". It matches the Rfam family "Bacterial small subunit ribosomal RNA", at positions 338 to 795 of the family's 1533-position model. The record is from RNAcentral.
CCUACGGGAGGCAGCAGUGAGGAAUAUUGGUCAAUGGGCGAGAGCCUGAACCAGCCAAGUCGCGUGCGGGAGUACUGCCCUAUGGGUUGUAAACCUCUUUUGUCGGGGAGCAAAAGCCGGACGUGUCCGGCUGUGAGAGUACCCGAAGAAAAAGCAUCGGCAAACUCCGUGCCAGCAGCCGCGGUAAUACGGGGGAUGCGAGCGUUAUCCGGGUUUUUUGGGUUUAAAGGGGGCGCAGGCGGAUUUUUAAGUCAGCGGUCAAAUCGUGGGGCUCAACCCCGUCCAGCCGUUGAAACUGGGGAGCUUGAGUGUGCGAGAGGUAUGCGGAAUGCGUGGUGUAGCGGUGAAAUGCAGAGAUAUCACGCAGAACCCCGAUUGCGAAGGCAGCAUACCGGUGCACAACUGACGCUCAGGCACGAAAGCGUGGGUAUCGAACAGGAUUAGAUACCCGAGUAGUC